Molecule: transfer RNA, 72 nt
Filed under: Methanocellales archaeon
Lineage: Archaea; Methanobacteriati; Methanobacteriota; Methanomicrobia; Methanocellales
Also listed under: 2 other names
Description: tRNA-Gly
Rfam family: tRNA
About the family: Transfer RNA (tRNA) molecules are approximately 80 nucleotides in length. Their secondary structure includes four short double-helical elements and three loops (D, anti-codon, and T loops).
Source: RNAcentral
GCGGCUAUGGUUUAGUGGUUAUGACAUGAGCUUCCCAAGCUCAGAACCCGGGUUCAAAUCCCGGUAGCCGCA